This 433-nucleotide ribosomal RNA is filed under the name uncultured bacterium. RNAcentral's name for it is "partial 16S ribosomal RNA". It matches the Rfam family "Bacterial small subunit ribosomal RNA", at positions 28 to 507 of the family's 1533-position model. The record is from RNAcentral.
GACGAACGCUGGCGGCAUGCCUAACACAUGCAAGUCGAACGAAACCUUCGGGUCUAUUGGCGCACGGGUGCGUAACGCGUGGGAACCUGCCCUUAGGUUCGGAAUAACUCCCAGAAAGGGGUGCUAAUACCGGAUAAUGUCUUCGGACCAAAGAUUUAUCGCCUUUGGAUGGGCCCGCGUUGGAUUAGCUAGUUGGUAGGGUAAAAGCCUACCAAGGGGACGAUCCAUAGCUGGUCUGAGAGGAUGAUCAGCAACACUGGGACUGAGACACGGCCCAGAAUCGUACGGGAGGCAGCAGUGGGGAAUAUAGGAAAAUGGGCGAAAGGAUGAUCCAGCAAUGACGGGUGAGUGAUGAAGGCAUUAGGGUUGUAAAGCUCUUUUAACCGGGAUGAUAAUGACAGUACCGGGAGAAUAAGCCCCGGCUAACUCCGUG